UUUCCGGCGUUAUUCGUCUUCAGUAUGUGACGAAAAUUAGGAAUACCAAUCUUUUCUUAAGCGACGACGCUGCGGAUAUUACUGGAGAAUUUACUAAGUCAACACCAUUAAAAUCGAGCACAAUAAUAUACGAAAAUGAUAUAGAGGUCGUUGCUAAAGUCAGCGACCCCUCAACAGGAAGCACCGUUAUUAAUUCCGUUAUUGUUAAACUCAAACGUGAUGGAAAAAUGAAGUGGACUUUAGAACCAAAGCGGAACGAUUUUCAACCUGGUUUGCCAUUCGUAACGUUUCUCAAGUUUCAGAACUUAAAAACGUCUACAAUGCCUGUAAAAGUCAAAAUUAUCGAAAAGAAACUAA
Long non-coding RNA from Magallana angulata, 357 nucleotides. RefSeq lists it as uncharacterized. NCBI's taxonomy places the organism in Eukaryota, Metazoa, Mollusca, Bivalvia, Ostreida, Ostreidae. The transcript is spliced from 3 exons. The record is from RefSeq and is a predicted model, not a curated record.